This 253-nucleotide ribosomal RNA is filed under the name uncultured bacterium. Its description in RNAcentral is "partial 16S ribosomal RNA". It matches the Rfam family "Bacterial small subunit ribosomal RNA", at positions 524 to 776 of the family's 1533-position model. The record is from RNAcentral.
UACAGAGGUGGCAAGCGUUGUUCGGAAUUACUGGGCGUAAAGGGCGCGUAGGCGGUUCGAUAAGUCCUGUGUGAAAUCCCUCGGCUCAACUGAGGAACUGCACGGGAGACUGUCGGGCUUGAGUUCGGGAGAGGGAAGCGGAAUUCCGGGUGUAGCGGUGAAAUGCGUAGAUAUCCGGAGGAACACCGGUGGCGAAGGCGGCUUCCUGGUCCAGCACCGACGUUCAGGCACGAAAGCGUGGGGAGCAAACAGG